Molecule: ribosomal RNA, 497 nt
Filed under: uncultured bacterium
Lineage: Bacteria
Description: partial 16S ribosomal RNA
Rfam family: Bacterial small subunit ribosomal RNA
Source: RNAcentral
GAUGAACGCUGGCGGCGUGCCUAAUACAUGCAAGUCGAGCGAACAGACUAGGCGCUUGCUCCUCUGUCGUUAGCGACGGACGGGUGAGUAACACGUGGAUAACCUACCUAUAAGACUGAGUUAACUUCGGGUAACCUGAGCUAAUACCGGCUAAUAUAUUGAACCGCAUGGUUCUAUAGUGCUAGCCGUUUUUGCUGUCACUUAUACAUGUAUCCAUGCCGGAUGAGCUAGUUGGUAGGGUAACGGCUGACCAAGGCGACGAUGAGUAGCCGACCUGAGAGGACGAGAAGCAACAAUGGAACUGAGACAGGGGCCAGACUCAUACGGGAGGCAGCAGUGGGGAAUUUUGGACAAUGGGCGAAAGCCUGAUCCAGCAAUUCCGCGUGAGGGAAGAAGGCCUUCGGGUUGUAAAGCUCGUUAGCAAGGGAAGAAAACGUACCAUCGAAUAAAUGGUGAGGCUGACGGUACCUGGAUAAGAAGAACAGGCUAACUACGUG